Venturia canescens is the source of this 1054-nucleotide long non-coding RNA. RefSeq lists it as uncharacterized. The record is from RefSeq and is a predicted model, not a curated record. Lineage: Eukaryota; Metazoa; Arthropoda; Insecta; Hymenoptera; Ichneumonidae. The transcript has 2 exons.
ACACAUCAACUUUCCUGCAUAUAUUUUUCUCUCCUCGCCCCCCUCCCCCCUCUCUCUCCACCCGCCCCUUGAAUCUGCAGCAUGUCGCGUGGCACUGUCCCAUCCCUCUAUUAUCUGCCUUAUGCUCGUGUCCGCAUGUGAUAGUGAAAAAAAAGUGGUAUUUUUCGAAACACGAGGAAGCAAAAUCCAGACAGUUCGACUACCAAACCCAAAUGAUAUGAACAUUAAUGAGCACGUUAUUCAUAGUCUUUCGUAUGGCAAAUCAACAACUUGAAUAUCCUGCGAUACUUUCAACGAUUUUCGAUAACCUUCCAACAAACGAAUAUUAAUUAUCAACUAUUGCUUACUUCUUAUUUCGUUGGAAAUUUAUCAGAAGAAAUUUUCACGAAAAAAAACACUAAAUUCAAUGAAAAACGUUAGAGUCGAAGAAAGUUUGUUGAUUCCUCCCAAUCUCUCGGACAUUUAACCUUAUAUUUCUUUGAACGUAAGUUCGGGGUUGAAAACUGCCUCAAUUCUUCAUGAUAAAGCUGAUACGGAAGAAGAAAAAUAGUUUGGAGAAAACUAAAAAAUAAUUUUUCGUCAGUCGUUAUUUACAGUUUCACUGAAAGUAUACAACUACUAUGAUUUAUGGGGAUAAAUAGGCACGUGCCUCAUUCUCCAGAUUUAGAACUAUCUGAAAGAUAUUAGAAUUUGAAUACAGCCAGAUUAUAAAUUCAACAGAUGUGACAAAGUUCUGCAAAACGAUUUGAAAUACACUAGAGUGAUGCUGACAAAUUCUACUUGAGAUUUUUCAACAUCUUGCAAAGACGGAAACUCUACAUUGAACAACUACUGUCCAUAGAAACACCUCCUGGCUGGCUUUGAAGCUGACCAUAUGAAUAUUCAUUAUGAAUGAAGCCGAAUGAAGAGGGUGAAUACAAUGAAUAUAAUCUUAAAUGCCACGAAUGGAAUCAAAUGCUGAACAUAAUAUUCAAUAAAUUUUAAUCCUAUUCUUUAGUUCAUAAUUGUUUGUGAAUGUGUAGCGAACGAUCAACAAGCUUGUUUUAAUUAUCAA